CCUACGAGAGGCAGCAGUGGGGAAUAUUGGACAAUGGGGGCAACCCUGAUCCAGCCAUGCCGCGUGUGUGAAGAAGGCCCUCGGGUUGUAAAGCACUUUCAGUGAGGAAGAACGCCUGGUGGUUAAUACCCAUCAGGAAAGACAUCACUCACAGAAGAAGCACCGGCUAACUCCGUGCCAGCAGCCGCGGUAAUACGGAGGGUGCGAGCGUUAAUCGGAAUUACUGGGCGUAAAGCGCGCGUAGGUGGCUUGAUAAGCCGGUUGUGAAAGCCCCGGGCUCAACCUGGGAACGGCAUCCGGAACUGUCAAGCUAGAGUGCAGGAGAGGAAGGUAGAAUUCCCGGUGUAGCGGUGAAAUGCGUAGAGAUCGGGAGGAAUACCAGUGGCGAAGGCGGCCUUCUGGACUGACACUGACACUGAGGUGCGAAAGCGUGGGUAGCAAACAGGAUUAGAUACCCCGGUAGUC
RNAcentral lists this ribosomal RNA (465 nucleotides) under Vreelandella stevensii. Its description in RNAcentral is "partial 16S ribosomal RNA". It matches the Rfam family "Bacterial small subunit ribosomal RNA", at positions 338 to 795 of the family's 1533-position model. The record is from RNAcentral. Lineage: Bacteria; Pseudomonadati; Pseudomonadota; Gammaproteobacteria; Oceanospirillales; Halomonadaceae.